UUGACGGGGCCCGCACAAGCGGUGGAGUAUGUGGUUUAAUUCGAUGCAACGCGAAGAACCUUACCUGGUCUUGACAUCCCGGAGACCCUUAGGAAACGUAGGGGGUGCUCCAUCUGGAAGAAUCUGGAGACAGGUGCUGCAUGGCUGUCGUCAGCUCGUGUCGUGAGAUGUUGGGUUAAGUCCCGCAACGAGCGCAACCCUUGCCUUUAGUUGCCAGCAGUUCGGCUGGGCACUCUAAAGGGACUGCCGGUGUUAAACCGGAGGAAGGUGGGGAUGACGUCAAGUCCUCAUGGCCUUUAUGACCAGGGCUACACACGUACUACAAUGGCCGAUACAAAGGGCAGCGACACUGCGAGGUGAAGCCAAUCCCGUAAAAUCGGUCUCAGUCCGGAUUGGAGUCUGCAACUCGACUCCAUGAAGUUGGAAUCGCUAGUAAUCGUGGAUCAGCAUGCCACGGUGAAUACGUUCCCGGGCCUU
RNAcentral lists this ribosomal RNA (477 nucleotides) under uncultured Desulfobulbus sp. RNAcentral describes it as "bacterial SSU rRNA". It matches the Rfam family "Bacterial small subunit ribosomal RNA", at positions 910 to 1382 of the family's 1533-position model. The record is from RNAcentral. Lineage: Bacteria; Pseudomonadati; Thermodesulfobacteriota; Desulfobulbia; Desulfobulbales; Desulfobulbaceae.